ACAGAGACUGCAAGCGUUAUUCGGAUUCACUGGGCGUAAAGGGUGCGCAGGCGGCCAAGUGUGUCAGGUGUGAAAUCCCGAGGCUUAACCUCGGAACUGCGCCUGAAACUACUUGGCUAGAGUACUGGAGAGGGUAACGGAAUUCACGGUGUAGCAGUGAAAUGCGUAGAUAUCGUGAGGAACACCAGAGGCGAAGGCGGUUACCUGGACAGUUACUGACGCUCAGGCACGAAAGCGUGGGGAGCAAAAGGGA
RNAcentral lists this ribosomal RNA (253 nucleotides) under uncultured prokaryote. RNAcentral's name for it is "partial 16S ribosomal RNA". It matches the Rfam family "Bacterial small subunit ribosomal RNA", at positions 525 to 777 of the family's 1533-position model. The record is from RNAcentral.